Podarcis lilfordi (Lilford's wall lizard) is the source of this 101-nucleotide non-coding RNA. Lineage: Eukaryota; Metazoa; Chordata; Lepidosauria; Squamata; Lacertidae. The record is from the annotation of a GenBank genome assembly.
AGCGCGGCUCUUGCUGGCUUUGGCGGGAGGUGGGGGAAGUGACAGAGGCCAUCCCUCUGUCCCUUCCCCUACCUCCCGCCAAAGCCAGCAAGAGCCGCGCU